AGUGAACGCUGGCGGUAGGCCUAACACAUGCCAGUCGAACGGCAGCACAGUAAGCGCUUGCUCUUACGGGUGGCGAGUGGCGGACGGGUGAGGAAUACAUCGGAAUCUACUUUUUCGUGGGGGAUAACGUAGGGAAACUUACGCUAAUACCGCAUACGACCUACGGGUGAAAGCAGGGGAUCUUCGGACCUUGCGCGAUUGAAUGAGCCGAUGUCGGAUUAGCUAGUUGGCGGGGUAAAGGCCCACCAAGGCGACGAUCCGUAGCUGGUCUGAGAGGAUGAUCAGCCACACUGGAACUGAGACACGGCCCAGACUCCUACGGGAGGCAGCAGUGGGGAAUAUUGGACAAGGGGCGCAAGCCUGAUCCAGCCAUACCGCGUGGGUGAAGAAGGCCUUCGGGUUGUAAAGCCCUUUUGUUGGGAAAGAAAAGCAGCAGGUUAAUACCCCGCUGUUCUGACGGUACCCAAAGAAUAAGCACCGGCUAACUUCGUG
RNAcentral lists this ribosomal RNA (492 nucleotides) under uncultured bacterium. RNAcentral describes it as "partial 16S ribosomal RNA". It matches the Rfam family "Bacterial small subunit ribosomal RNA", at positions 29 to 507 of the family's 1533-position model. The record is from RNAcentral.